This 639-nucleotide long non-coding RNA is filed under the name Cavia porcellus (domestic guinea pig). RNAcentral describes it as "lncRNA (ENSCPOG00000034066.1)". Lineage: Eukaryota; Metazoa; Chordata; Mammalia; Rodentia; Caviidae. The record is from RNAcentral.
CUGAGUGACACAAGUUAGAGUUUCAGCCACAGUGUUCCUUGCAGCAGGGAGAAUGAGGUGUCAGAUUUCCCGUCCUCCAAAAAUGACCCCUGGCAGUCAGAUCCAGUGACACUAGGUGUUUCUAAUUUUGGAACCUCGAUGCUGAGGAAGGAUAAGCAGGCGCCUCAAAGUUUCCAUGAGCAUUUUCUCAGAGCUACACAUUUCACUCUAGUGCUAGUAAAAACUUCCAGCCCCUGACCUGAGGAAGGUCACGUGACCUUUGUUCCUUGUCUCACUCUCCACAUUGCGUUUUCCAGUAAAGAUCUGGUAUGUUCUCUGCUUCUCACUCCUUGUAUCUUAGGAGAAAAGCGGGUAUUCUGCUCUGAAGGGAGAAAUGAAGAGACUGACGAGUUACCACUCCCGAAAGCCGUGGGAAGGUUCCGAUUGGGAAGAACUCUCACAUCCUCUCCUGGCAUCUCUAACCCCAAAGAUCACUGGAGGAGAGCGCUGCACGCGGGCUGCUGCUGGCUGUGGAGAGCCAGACCCAAGCCGCUCUCUGUGAGUCAGCAUCGUUGGCGGCCUGCAGGGGGAAAGAACCACAACCUACAGCGGGGAGAUUCCCCUUCCCCGGUAAUCACAACUGCUAAAUACCUCAAAUAA